Molecule: ribosomal RNA, 259 nt
Filed under: Paraphysomonas bandaiensis
Lineage: Eukaryota; Chrysophyceae; Chromulinales; Paraphysomonadaceae
Description: partial Bacterial large subunit ribosomal RNA
Rfam family: Bacterial large subunit ribosomal RNA
Source: RNAcentral
GAAACCGAGUCUUAAUAGGGCGUCUAGUUGCAGGGUAUAGACCCGAAACCGAGUGAUCUAUCCAUGAGCAGGUUGAAAGUGACGUAACAGUUACCGGAGGACCGAACCCACUGUCUUUGAAAAGCCAGGGGAUGACUUGUGGAUAGGGGUGAAAGGCUAAUCAAACUCGGUGAUAGCUGGUUCUCCCCGAAAGCUAUUUAGGUAGCGCCUCACGUAUCACCGCUGGGGGUAGAGCACUGUUUCGGCUAGGGGGUCAUCC